RNAcentral lists this transfer RNA (71 nucleotides) under Loxodonta africana (African savanna elephant). It matches the Rfam family "tRNA". Rfam says of the family: Transfer RNA (tRNA) molecules are approximately 80 nucleotides in length. The record is from Rfam by way of RNAcentral. Lineage: Eukaryota; Metazoa; Chordata; Mammalia; Proboscidea; Elephantidae.
GCAGUGGUGGUUCAGUGGUAAAGUUCUUGCCUUCCGCGUGGGAAACCUGGGUUUGAUUCCCAGCCGAUACA